CUUUUGUCAGGGACGAAGCAAGUGACGGUACCUGACGAAUAAGCCACGGCUAACUCCGUGCCAGCAGCCGCGGUAAUACGGAGGAUGCAAGCGUUAUCCGGAAUGAUUGGGCGUAAAGCGUCCGCAGGUGGCAGUUCAAAUCUGCUGUCAAAGACCGGGGCUUAACUUCGGAAAGGCAGUGGAAACUGAACAGCUAGAGUAUGGUAGGGGCAGAGGGAAUUCCUGGUGUAGCGGUGAAAUGCGUAGAGAUCAGGAAGAACAUCGGUGGCGAAGGCGCUCUGCUGGAC
RNAcentral lists this ribosomal RNA (287 nucleotides) under uncultured soil crust cyanobacterium. RNAcentral's name for it is "partial 16S ribosomal RNA". It matches the Rfam family "Bacterial small subunit ribosomal RNA", at positions 433 to 734 of the family's 1533-position model. Lineage: Bacteria; Bacillati; Cyanobacteriota. The record is from RNAcentral.